This is a non-coding RNA of Acanthopagrus latus (yellowfin seabream), 951 nucleotides long. The record is from the annotation of a RefSeq genome assembly. NCBI's taxonomy places the organism in Eukaryota, Metazoa, Chordata, Actinopteri, Spariformes, Sparidae.
GUCUGUUUGUCUGCCUUUCAUUUACUCACAGGGUUUCCUGUAGAUGAAUGGCAAUUUCUGUUUAAUAUGAGUUAUUAGUACAUUAUGAUUAUCAAAAAGCAUCAUGUUAAUUUAAGCAUGUAGAAAUUGAUGUGAAAUUGUAAAAAUGACUUUAUUUCAAGGAGACUGUGAUCGUUUCUCCAUCAGGAGUAGAAAACUCAAGAAAAAUGAAAUAAAUGAUUCAUAUUUAUUGAAUAUUUUCAAUCCAUAACAUUGAACAAUCAUUGUAGAUUCAACUAAUAUGAAUAUUUGUGUGUUAUUAUAAAAAGCAGAGGGUGUUUUCAGUGAAUAGAUGCUUGUUCACAGUGCAGGAGGUUUUUGUACGGCCACUUAAUGAGUUUGUAUCACUGUGGUGGACUUUUGGUGGAGGAACCAAACUCAUCAUUCACUCUGGCCCCAUGGUCAGGCCCUCCGUCUCUCUGCUUCCCCCCUCCUCUGAGCAGCUCUCCGGGGGCUCGGCCACGCUGGCCUGCCUGCUGACCGGCUACUCUCCUCAGGGAGCCGCGGUGCGCUGGGAGGUGGACGGUACGGAGGUGACAGAGGGGGUCCUGAGCAGCUGGGAGGAGGAGAGGAGCGGACGCUACAGCAGCAGCAGCACCCUGAGCCUGAGCCGGGAGCGCUGGAUGGAAGGAGAGCUGUACACCUGCAAGGUCCUCCAUCAUGACCACAGCCAGACCCAGUCCCUCCACAGGAGCCAGUGUAAGGCCUAGAGGGGCCGACUGAAGCCCAGGACAGGAGCUGUGUGUGUGUGUCCCACUUCUAAUAUUGAUCUUCUGCAUAUUCUUCUUCAUGUUCUUUACUUUUCAAAUUCUGCUGAAUAUUAUCAGUUUAAGUCCAAGAUAAAUGUUUCAUUCAACAGAAAUGUGGCAUAAAGAUUUAAACAAUGUCUUAAUAAAACUGUGGAUUAUGAUA